Molecule: transfer RNA, 82 nt
Filed under: Ciona intestinalis (vase tunicate)
Lineage: Eukaryota; Metazoa; Chordata; Ascidiacea; Phlebobranchia; Cionidae
Description: tRNA-Ser (CGA) (tRNA-Ser-CGA-1-1)
Rfam family: tRNA
About the family: Transfer RNA (tRNA) molecules are approximately 80 nucleotides in length. Their secondary structure includes four short double-helical elements and three loops (D, anti-codon, and T loops). Further hydrogen bonds mediate the characteristic L-shaped molecular structure. tRNAs have two regions of fundamental functional importance: the anti-codon, which is responsible for specific mRNA codon recognition, and the 3' end, to which the tRNAs corresponding amino acid is attached (by aminoacyl-tRNA synthetases). tRNAs cope with the degeneracy of the genetic code in two manners: having more than one tRNA (with a specific anti-codon) for a particular amino acid; and 'wobble' base-pairing, i.e. permitting non-standard base-pairing at the 3rd anti-codon position.
Source: Rfam by way of RNAcentral
GUCGCCGUGGCCGAGUGGUUAAGGCGACAGACUCGAAAUCUGUUGGGCUCUGCCCGCACAGGUUCGAAUCCUGUCGGCGACG